GUGCCAGCCGCCGCGGUAAUACGAAGGGGCUAGCGUUGUUCGGAAUUACUGGGCGUAAAGCGCACGUAGGCGGACUAUUAAGUCAGGGGUGAAAUCCCGGGGCUCAACCUCGGAACUGCCUUUGAUACUGGUAGUCUCGAGUCCGAGAGAGGUGAGUGGAAUUCCGAGUGUAGAGGUGAAAUUCGUAGAUAUUCGGAGGAACACCAGUGGCGAAGGCGGCUCACUGGCUCGGUACUGACGCUGAGGUGCGAAAGCGUGGGAGCAAACAGGAUUAGAUACCCUGGUAGUCCACGCCGUAAACGAUGGAA
This 308-nucleotide ribosomal RNA is filed under the name uncultured Mesorhizobium sp. RNAcentral describes it as "bacterial SSU rRNA". It matches the Rfam family "Bacterial small subunit ribosomal RNA", at positions 505 to 814 of the family's 1533-position model. Lineage: Bacteria; Pseudomonadati; Pseudomonadota; Alphaproteobacteria; Hyphomicrobiales; Phyllobacteriaceae. The record is from RNAcentral.